RNAcentral lists this ribosomal RNA (468 nucleotides) under uncultured bacterium. Its description in RNAcentral is "partial 16S ribosomal RNA". It matches the Rfam family "Bacterial small subunit ribosomal RNA", at positions 28 to 507 of the family's 1533-position model. The record is from RNAcentral.
GACGAACGCUGGCGGCGUGCUUAACACAUGCAAGUCGAACGGAAAGGCCCUGCUUUUGUGGGGUGCUCGAGUGGCGAACGUGUGAGUAACACGUGAGUAACCUGCCCUUGACUUUGGUAUAACUUCAGGAAACUGGGGCUAAUACCGGAUAGGAGCUCCUGCUGCAUGGUGGGGGUUGGAAAGUUUCGGCGGUUGGGGAUGGACUCGCGGCUUAUCAGCUUGUUGGUGGGGUAGUGGCUUUCCAAGGCUUUGACGGGUAGCCGGCCUGAGAGGGUGACCGGCCACAUUGGGACUGAGAUACGGCCCAGACUCCUACGGGAGGCAGCAGUGGGGAAUAUUGCACAAUGGGCGGAAGCCUGAUGCAGCAACGCCGCGUGCGGGAUGACGGCCUUCGGGUGGUAAACCGCAUGCGACUGUGACGAAGCGUGAGUGACGGUAAUGGGAAAAGAAGCACCGGCUAACUACGUG